GCACAGCUAGGCUACAGCAUGGAGCAAACAACAGAAUUGCUGGUUCAGUGGAAAAAAGAUGGCUCCAAAAACGUGGUAGUGUAUGGAGAUAUUCAAUGUCCCUGUAUUCCAAUAAAAGGGACAAAAGUCUUCAUGCCUUGGAAAGGCAGGAGAUGGGAGGGAGUUGUCCUGGCAGUGGAUGAUGAGUCUGAGGAAAGUGAUGAUGACAGCAUACCACUUGCUCAACUAAUAAUUAAAGACCAUGUACCUCUACCAGAUCAACCAAGGCUUGACAUUGGAGAUGUUGGUGUCACAAUGACAGACGUGCCUCAUGAAGUUCAGAUGUGUGAACAUUUCACAUGUUUACAUGAAGUGUUUAGUACAUGCUCCCAGUGUCUUGUUUUCCUGUGUGAACACCACUUCAAAGAGGACGACCCAUGUGCAAACCACAAUAACUAAGCUCAUCUACUUCAAAUUCCGGAGAGGCUUUCAGAAGAUCAUCCAGUGAUCGACACAGUUCUGGAAUUGAUGAUGGACGUUCCCUUAGCAAUCAAAGUGCAGGAGACAGUUGACAUAGUUCCAGAGAGAGUGGCUUCUGCCUAUCACACCAUCAAUGCUGAAGUGGAACCCGAUCUACACAGAGAUAUUGGAGAACGUCCUGAACAAUGUGAGGUAAAAGUCUGAAGCUUUAAAAUGGUUGCCUGUUACAAAUUCUGCUCAGGGAGUGGAGAAUUUUCUUUGACAAAGAUAAAUGUAUUUUUGUUGUACCGGAAAAUGGCUGGUGUACAGCUCUUUAGACACAGUAAUUGGAAUAAUUGCUCUACUUCCCUCUGAUUGAGGGGUUC
This is a long non-coding RNA of Strongylocentrotus purpuratus (purple sea urchin), 824 nucleotides long. RefSeq lists it as uncharacterized. The transcript is spliced from 5 exons. The record is from RefSeq and is a predicted model, not a curated record. Lineage: Eukaryota; Metazoa; Echinodermata; Echinoidea; Camarodonta; Strongylocentrotidae.